Molecule: ribosomal RNA, 242 nt
Filed under: Clostridioides difficile
Lineage: Bacteria; Bacillati; Bacillota; Clostridia; Peptostreptococcales; Peptostreptococcaceae
Description: partial 23S ribosomal RNA
Rfam family: Bacterial large subunit ribosomal RNA
Source: RNAcentral
AAACUCCGAAUGCCGUCAUCUUAUACUUGGGAGUCAGACUGUGGGUGAUAAGAUUCAUAGUCGAAAGGGCAACAGCCCAGAUCGUCAGCUAAGGGCCCUAAAUGUAAGUUAAGUGGUAAAGGAUGUGGGAUUGCACAGACAACCAGGAUGUUGGCUUAGAAGCAGCCACUCAUUCAAAGAGUGCGUAAUAGCUCACUGGUCGAGUGAUCCUGCGCCGAAGAUUUCCGGGGCUAAAACUUACU